AUGCAGCCAUGCCGCGUGUAUGAAGAAGGCCUUCGGGUUGUAAAGUACUUUCAGCUCUGUNNAGGAAGGGGGUGUUGUUAAUAGCAACAUCUCUUGACGUUAGCAACAGAAGAAGCACCGGCUAACUCCGUGCCAGCAGCCGCGGUAAU
This 149-nucleotide ribosomal RNA is filed under the name uncultured bacterium. Its description in RNAcentral is "partial 16S ribosomal RNA". It matches the Rfam family "Bacterial small subunit ribosomal RNA", at positions 386 to 524 of the family's 1533-position model. The record is from RNAcentral.